Molecule: non-coding RNA, 148 nt
Filed under: Theropithecus gelada (gelada)
Lineage: Eukaryota; Metazoa; Chordata; Mammalia; Primates; Cercopithecidae
Source: Rfam by way of RNAcentral
GCCGGGUGUGGUGGCGCACACCUGUAAUCCCAGUUACUCAGGAGGCUGAGGCAGGAGAAUUGCUUGAACCCAGGAGGUCAAGGCUGCAGUGAGCUGUGAUUGUGCCACUGCACUGCAGCCUGGGCGACAGAGUGAGACCCCAUUUCAA